CGUAUCACCCAAGACAACUUUACGGAGUUGACGAUUGACGGAGCGAAGCGACGUCAAAGCGUUCAUUAAAGUCGAGUUGGCUUAGGGAUACGUUCGUUGGGUAGGGGAGCGUUCUGUAAGCCUGUGAAGGUGGCCUGUGAGGGUUGCUGGAGGUAUCAGAAGUGCGAAUGCUGACAUAAGUAACGAUAAAGCGGGUGAAAAGCCCGCUCGCCGGAAGACCAAGGGUUCCUGUCCAACGUUAAUCGGGGCAGGGUGAGUCGACCCCUAAGGCGAGGCCGAAAGGCGUAGUCGAUGGGAAACGGGUUAAUAUUCCCGUACUUGGUGUUACUGCGAAGGGGGGACGGAGAAGGCUAUGUUGGCCGGGCGACGGUUGUCCCGGUUUAAGCGUGUAGGUGUGUGUUCCAGGUAAAUCCGGUUCACUUUAACACUGAGGCGUGACGACGAGGCACUACGGUGCUGAAGCAACAAAUGCCCUGCUUCCAGGAAAAGCCUCUAAGCAUCAGGUAACAUCAAAUCGUACCCCAAACCGACACAGGUGGUCAGGUAGAGAAUACCAAGGCGCUUGAGAGAACUCGGGUGAAGGAACUAGGCAAAAUGGUGCCGUAACUUCGGGAGAAGGCACGCUGACAUGUAGGUGAAGUGAUUUACUCAUGGAGCUGAAGUCAGUCGAAGAUACCAGCUGGCUGCAACUGUUUAUUAAAAACACAGCACUGUGCAAACACGAAAGUGGACGUAUACGGUGUGACGCCUGCCCGGUGCCGGAAGGUUAAUUGAUGGGGUCAGCGCAAGCGAAGCUCCUGAUCGAAGCCCCGGUAAACGGCGGCCGUAACUAUAACGGUCCUAAGGUAGCGAAAUUCCUUGUCGGGUAAGUUCCGACCUGCACGAAUGGCGUAAUGAUGGCCAGGCUGUCUCCACCCGAGACUCAGUGAAAUUGAACUCGCUGUGAAGAUGCAGUGUACCCGCGGCAAGACGGAAAGACCCCGUGAACCUUUACUAUAGCUUGACACUGAACAUUGAGCCUUGAUGUGUAGGAUAGGUGGGAGGCUUUGAAGCGUGGACGCCAGUCUGCGUGGAGCCGACCUUGAAAUACCACCCUUUAAUGUUUGAUGUUCUAACGUGGACCCGUAAUCCGGGUUGCGGACAGUGUCUGGUGGGUAGUUUGACUGGGGCGGUCUCCUCCUAAAGAGUAACGGAGGAGCACGAAGGUUAGCUAAUCCUGGUCGGACAUCAGGAGGUUAGUGCAAAGGCAUAAGCUAGCUUGACUGCGAGCGUGACGGCGCGAGCAGGUGCGAAAGCAGGUCUUAGUGAUCCGGUGGUUCUGAAUGGAAGGGCCAUCGCUCAACGGAUAAAAGGUACUCCGGGGAUAACAGGCUGAUACCGCCCAAGAGUUCAUAUCGACGGCGGUGUUUGGCACCUCGAUGUCGGCUCAUCACAUCCUGGGGCUGAAGUAGGUCCCAAGGGUAUGGCUGUUCGCCAUUUAAAGUGGUACGCGAGCUGGGUUUAGAACGUCGUGAGACAGUUCGGUCCCUAUCUGCCGUGGGCGCUGGAGAAUUGAGGGGGGCUGCUCCUAGUACGAGAGGACCGGAGUGGACGCAUCACUGGUGUUCGGGUUGUCAUGCCAAUGGCAUUGCCCGGUAGCUAAAUGCGGGAGAGAUAAGUGCUGAAAGCAUCUAAGCACGAAACUUGCCCUGAGAUGAGUUCUCCCUGACCCUUUAAGGGUCCUGAAGGAACGUUGAAGACGACGACGUUGAUAGGUCGGGUGUGUAAGCGUAGCGAUACGUUGAGCUAACCGAUACUAAUGAACCGUGAGGCUUAACCUUACAACGCCAAAGGUGUUUUG
This 1840-nucleotide ribosomal RNA is filed under the name Salmonella enterica. RNAcentral's name for it is "partial 23S ribosomal RNA". It matches the Rfam family "Bacterial large subunit ribosomal RNA", at positions 1154 to 2925 of the family's 2925-position model. RNAcentral also lists the same sequence under 1 other name. The record is from RNAcentral. Lineage: Bacteria; Pseudomonadati; Pseudomonadota; Gammaproteobacteria; Enterobacterales; Enterobacteriaceae.